GUAGGGCUUGAAACUGGAGGAGCAGAAACACUAUCAGGAGGGAGGCUGGCUUGGGAGUCGAGCUGCCUGCACCGGCUCUAAAUCACACGUUACUGGUGUGUGAGCAUGAGCGCGACAGAGGCAAACAGCCCCUUGGCUUCCUUUGCUCAAG
Molecule: long non-coding RNA, 151 nt
Organism: Microtus oregoni (creeping vole)
Lineage: Eukaryota; Metazoa; Chordata; Mammalia; Rodentia; Cricetidae
Exons: 3
Source: RefSeq, a predicted model, not a curated record